Molecule: ribosomal RNA, 274 nt
Filed under: uncultured bacterium
Lineage: Bacteria
Description: partial 16S ribosomal RNA
Rfam family: Bacterial small subunit ribosomal RNA
Source: RNAcentral
AUACGGAGGGUGCAAGCGUUAUCCGGAAUCAUUGGGUUUAAAGGGUCCGUAGGCGGACUAUUAAGUCAGAGGUGAAAUCCCACAGCUCAACUGUGGAACUGCCUUUGAUACUGGUAGUCUUGAGUUAUAUGGAAGUAGAUAGAAUGUGUAGUGUAGCGGUGAAAUGCAUAGAUAUUACACAGAAUACCGAUUGCGAAGGCAGUCUACUACGUAUAUACUGACGCUAAGGGACGAAGGCGUGGGUAGCGAACAGGAUUAGAUACCCGGGUAGUCC